GUCCCCGUAGUUUAAUGGAUAAAACAAGAGUUUGCGGAACUCUAGCUCCAGGUUCGACUCCUGGCGGGGACA
This 72-nucleotide transfer RNA is filed under the name Minisyncoccota bacterium. RNAcentral's name for it is "tRNA-Arg". It matches the Rfam family "tRNA". Rfam says of the family: Transfer RNA (tRNA) molecules are approximately 80 nucleotides in length. Their secondary structure includes four short double-helical elements and three loops (D, anti-codon, and T loops). The record is from RNAcentral. Lineage: Bacteria; Bacillati; Minisyncoccota.